RNAcentral lists this ribosomal RNA (414 nucleotides) under Nanoglomus plukenetiae. Its description in RNAcentral is "partial large subunit ribosomal RNA". The record is from RNAcentral. Lineage: Eukaryota; Fungi; Glomeromycota; Glomeromycetes; Glomerales; Glomeraceae.
AGAGUUAAACAGUACGUGAAAUUGUUGAAAGGGAAACGAUUGAAGCCAGUCGUACUGGCGGGAAAUCAACUUCUCGAGUGCUUGUCGUGGAUGACGUUGAGCUUCACGGCCUUCGUUGUUCACGUUAUGGUGCUUUUGAGGUGUACUUUUCCGUAAGUAGGUCAACAUCGAUUUUGAUCGUCAUAAAAUAAUCGGAGGAAUGUGGCUCUGAUCUCGGUCGGAGUGUUAUAGCCUUUGGUAGAUGUGACGAUUGGGAUCGAGGAUUGCAACGAAUACCCUUUGGGCUAUCCGUCUGACCUCUGAAAGUCGCUCGGGUGUUGAAAGCGUGCUUAUGACAUUCUAGUAAUUGGCGGUCAAAAGGUUAGAACGCGAUUACAUUCGUUAAGGAUGUUGACGUAAUGGCUUUAAACGACC